Molecule: ribosomal RNA, 497 nt
Filed under: uncultured bacterium
Lineage: Bacteria
Description: partial 16S ribosomal RNA
Rfam family: Bacterial small subunit ribosomal RNA
Source: RNAcentral
GAUGAACGCUGGCGGCGUGCCUAAUACAUGCAAGUCGAGCGAACGGACGAGAAGCUUGCUUCUCUGAUGUUAGCGGCGGACGGGUGAGUAACACGUGGAUAACCUACCUAUAAGACUGGGAUAACUUCGGGAAACCGGAGCUAAUACCGGAUAAUAUUUUGAACCGCAUGGUUCAAAAGUGAAAGACGGUCUUGCUGUCACUUAUAGAUGGAUCCGCGCUGCAUUAGCUAGUUGGUAAGGUAACGGCUUACCAAGGCAACGAUGCAUAGCCGACCUGAGAGGGUGAUCGGCCACACGGGAAGUGAGACACGGUCCAGACUCCUACGGGAGGCAGCAGUAGGGAAUCUUCCGCAAUGGGCGAAAGCCUGACGGAGCAACGCCGCGUGAGUGAUGAAGGUCUUCGGAUCGUAAAACUCUGUUAUUAGGGAAGAACAUAUGUGAAAGUAACUGUGCACAUCGUGACGGUACCUAAUCAGAAAGCCACGGCUAACUACGUG